This is a non-coding RNA of Triticum urartu, 728 nucleotides long. NCBI's taxonomy places the organism in Eukaryota, Viridiplantae, Streptophyta, Magnoliopsida, Poales, Poaceae. The record is from RefSeq and is a predicted model, not a curated record.
UGGCAUGCGGCGGCAGCGGCGACGGCUGGCACGGCUGCGGCGACAGCGGCAACGGCUGGCAUGACAGCGACUGCGGCGGACUACAUCACCCUCCAAGAGAAGGAGCUCGCUCGGCAGCAGCCUCCAUUGGCAGUUGUUCAUCCUCUCAUUGAUUGGAUCCAGUCUUCUGAGAAUUAGUAUUCAAUCUGCUGUAGAUCUUUUGAGAAACACAAAAGAGGAUCCGAUGUAAUACAAAAGGAGCAUGAUCCAUUUUAUUCCAGAGGUACGUUCAUGUGUUAUCAGUUGGGGUCCAGCUUUCAUUCUGACGACAACUUCUCCAUCUCCCCAACAACAAACAGUAUUUCUUGUGGAUAAGUGGCGGAGGGCGGAGGGCGGAGGCCACGGUACACAUGAUGUUCUUGGUCACCGACCAUCCUCUAGGUGUUGACCUGAAUAGCAUCGAUGGCCAAGGGUGCAGCGCAAAGAUGACAGCGGCCGAUGGCGGUCUGACCUCCUGUAAUCAAGCACAUGUCGUGACGCAAACUUGAACGUGUUCACAUAGCCACCGCUGAUGCAUAUACAUGAAUGCUUUAUCAUGUACUGUAUGAAUGGAACGACUAUAGCAGGUUUCUUUGCACUUUUGCAAACAAGCCAUUUUUGUUACCAGUGAUCAAACAUGUGCAUACUUCUUCUUACGUGUAUACAUAUACUCUUUUUUGGUGAAUAAAUUCUUAUGCGAGCUUACCAUA